GGGGGAGAUCUCUAAGGGAGAGCUCUAUAGGACAGGGGGCAGGACAGGGAGCUCUUUCACACCACGCGCACACACACACACACACAAUGCAUCCCUAUACACACAGAAACACAACAUGCUUCCCUUACACACAGAUAAACACACAAUGCAACCCUUAGACAAAGACAAUGCAUCCUUUGCACACAUACACAGAAACACACAAUGCAUCCCUUACACACAUAUGCAAACACACACUGCUUCUCUUACACACACACACAGAAACACAAUGCAUCUCUUACACACACUCAACGCACCCCUUACAGACAAACACACAAUACAUCCCGUAUACACAAACACUCACU
This is a non-coding RNA of Pelobates cultripes (western spadefoot toad), 341 nucleotides long. Lineage: Eukaryota; Metazoa; Chordata; Amphibia; Anura; Pelobatidae. The record is from the annotation of a GenBank genome assembly.